GUCCUUUUGUACCUCAAAUGUGCAACUUUUGGUUGUGCAUGGCACCGCGCUGGGCAGGAGAGCAGGACCACAGGUUAAGAAAGAAGAAAAAAUCAACCAAUGACAGACGUCCUUGGUCCCACAGCAAGGAGCACAAAACACAGGCGAUGUUCAGCGCAUGCGCAGUAUAAAAAAAGAGUCCAGAGCCGAACAGCUUGCUCUUCUCCUGUCGCCUGUACGCAAUAACACUUCGACAUCGAUGCACCGGUCGGAAAAGCGCCGGUAAAAGGCUCUUCAUUCGGAAGCCUUGUCCUGGAGGCGGGAAAUACGCGCAACGUGAUAUGUGACGACUAUUGUAAACACACUCGAAUGUUUUGCUGGCCUGUUAAAGGAAUGCCGGCACAAGAGUUGCUUAUUUGAGUGAGUAAGUAGUCAAUAAUCAAUCAACGUUAACGGUUAAUGGAUACGUGACUAACGUCACGUCAGCUGGAAACUGCAGUUUGUUCCUUUUAACUUCGUCGUGUUCGACGUCACAUUUGAAAUCCUUGCAUUGAUUGCAUUCAACUUGUACAUAGCUCCAGGAUGUUGUGUGAAGUCGUGCUGUCGUCGGUAUGGCUCCUGUUCGUUAUCUUCUGGGUAGAGACAAUAAGCGUUUGGCUCUUUUUGUCAAUGUUCUACCAGGACCGGGCAUUUUACCACUGGGGAGAUGGGAUUUUUGCAGGUGACCCUAGAGAGAUGAUAUACAUGUUGAACAGAGUUGAUAACCACAUACAGACAGAGAUGCAGACCUGAGCUGGAACAAGAUGAAGAACUCCACUUAAGGGACACAAGAGAGGCUUUGGCAUUGACUGACAAAAAAAAUUAUGGAGAGCAGUAGCUGUUUUUUCUUUGGAGUGACUUCCUUGCACGCUGUGAUGCACAGUCAACAUCAUUACAUGUAGCACCCCUUUUAAUAACAAGUGGUGUAGAGCUGCAGCAUGAGUGAAUGUAAUGUGAGGUCCUCAGUGGUUGACAUUUCUAUUUUCACUUCAAGAUUAUGUAAAAGCAGAAUGAAUGUAGCAGAAAGUGUUUAGUUCGUUUGUUGUGGGUUUUCCACUCCAUUUUUAGAAAAUAGUGUUUCGUUAAUACUACCGUUCUAUGCAACUACAGUUGUUACUGUAUGCUUUAAGUUGUGGCCUUUAUCUGCAGAUGGAUUUUGCUCAGUUCAUAUGUCUCUAUUCUGAUAUAACACUGCUUAUUACGUGAAUGAAAUUCCAUAGGGAGGACACGUAACUCAGCCACCUCACUAGCAACUACAAAAGCUAAUUGAAAGCCCUAAAAUUAGAUAUUGUGUUACAAUUUUUACCCUGAAAUGAGCAACAUGUUCUGUAUACAUAUUAUUUCAAAUGCAGUAUGCCAAAAAUAUCCAGAUGUUUGACUGCUUUAGGUCACAUUUCACAAUAUGCAAACCAGCAUAUUGAGCAAGUAAAAGGAAGAGGGUCCGGGUUCAUUGUUAUGAUGGAGUCUGUGCCACUUGAAUGUAUAGUUUGUAAGGGCAGCUGCAGCAUUUACUUAAAGUAAAAAGAAAAGUGUGAUUUGGAGCACAAUCCUGAUGUUACAUUAGGCCUAUGUCUCCGAAGACAAUCAUAAUAGUGGGUUAGAGUAUGUUCCAUUUUAGGAAUCCAAUCUUUGUGCAAUAUGUCAGUGCUAUAUCUAGCAAAUGAAAUAAAAGUGAUAUUUUAGUUUAAAUACACAACUCUUUUCAAGCCCGUACAAAAUCAGCCAAUAAGUAGUGUUAACAACCGGUAGACAAACAUUGUCAAUAUUGUUUUGUAAAAAAAUGCUGAAUAAAUUUAUUUUUGAGUGCA
This is a long non-coding RNA of Gasterosteus aculeatus aculeatus (three-spined stickleback), 1826 nucleotides long. The record is from Ensembl. NCBI's taxonomy places the organism in Eukaryota, Metazoa, Chordata, Actinopteri, Perciformes, Gasterosteidae.